GCUUGACAAUGAAUUUAAAUACUUAUAAAUAAUGUGCAGAUUCAAAUACACUAAUAACAAAGAUUUACUCCUACAAUAUAAAGUCUAACACUCACUUCCAAAGCAUAUGAAUAAGGAAUUCAUCUCACUCGCAAAUACAUUAUUUAGUAGAAUAUAUGCAAUUGAAUUCUCAUGUUUAAUAUAUUACAAAUUAUUACCUAGUAUUCAGUGUAAUUCAAAUAAAGAUUGUGUUAGCAACAAAGAAUUGAUUCAAUAUGCCCCUAUUUCCU
Molecule: unclassified non-coding RNA, 269 nt
Filed under: Hevea brasiliensis (rubber tree)
Lineage: Eukaryota; Viridiplantae; Streptophyta; Magnoliopsida; Malpighiales; Euphorbiaceae
Source: RNAcentral